CCCUCGGAGGGCGGGCCGCGGCGGAGGGCUGGGCGGUGGGGCCGGGGUGAGUGCGCUAGCUAGCGCCUGCGCCCGCUGCCGGGACCGCCCCCUCCAAGCGGGACUCGUCUCGGCCGCCCGGCUGCGGGUCCAAUGCGCGGGGGAGGUUCGUGGCCCCCCUUCCCUCACGCCCCGCCCACCUUCCAAUGAGCGCUGUUCGCGGGGAGUUUACGUGGGACCGGGGCUGCCCGGCUGAAGCUGCCAGGACACGUUACCUGUUGGCCUUGUGCGGAGCCUUGUGGUCGUUCCUCCUCGAGGUGGCAGCUGCAAUCACAAAACCGAACCACCAUGUACCUCAUAAGGAAGUUUCUGUCCCAUGUGGAAUCUGGUUCAUUUCUCAAUAAAGGGACUCCUGGAGUGGAAAGGAAAAAGCCAAAUUAUAAACUUGUUCUGCUCGAA
Long non-coding RNA from Suricata suricatta (meerkat), 438 nucleotides. RefSeq lists it as uncharacterized. The record is from RefSeq and is a predicted model, not a curated record. The transcript is spliced from 2 exons. Lineage: Eukaryota; Metazoa; Chordata; Mammalia; Carnivora; Herpestidae.